GGGAGGCAUCAGUGGGGAAUUUUGCGCAAUGGGCGAAAGCCUGACGCAGCAACGCCGCGUGAGUGAUGAAGGCCCUCGGGUCGUAAAGCUCUGUCGGGAGGGAAGAAAUGAUUUAGGGUUAAUACCCCUUGAUCUUGACGGUACCUCCGAAGGAAGCACCGGCUAACCCCGUGCCAGCAGCCGCGGUAAUAAG
RNAcentral lists this ribosomal RNA (193 nucleotides) under uncultured bacterium. Its description in RNAcentral is "partial 16S ribosomal RNA". It matches the Rfam family "Bacterial small subunit ribosomal RNA", at positions 343 to 527 of the family's 1533-position model. The record is from RNAcentral.